AUUGAACGCUGGCGGAAUGCUUUACACAUGCAAGUCGAACGGCAGCACGGACUUCGGUCUGGUGGCGAGUGGCGAACGGGUGAGUAAUGUAUCGGAACGUGCCCAGUCGUGGGGGACAACGUAGUGAAAAUUACGCUAAUACCGCAUACGAUCUAUGGAUGAAAGCGGGGGAUCGCAAGACCUCGCGCGAUUGGAGCGGCCGAUAUCAGAUUAGGUAGUUGGUGGGGUAAAGGCCCACCAAGCCAACGAUCUGUAGCUGGUCUGAGAGGACGACCAGCCACACUGGAACUGAGACACGGUCCAGACUCCUACGGGAGGCAGCAGUGGGGAAUUUUGGACAAUGGGCGAGAGCCUGAUCCAGCCAUUCCGCGUGCAGGAUGAAGGCCCUCGGGUUGUAAACUGCUUUUGUACAGAACGAAAAGGUUUCUACUAAUACUAGGAGCUCAUGACGGUACUGUAAGAAUAAGGAUCGGCUAACUCCGUGCCAGCAGCCGCGGUAA
Molecule: ribosomal RNA, 500 nt
Filed under: uncultured bacterium
Lineage: Bacteria
Description: partial 16S ribosomal RNA
Rfam family: Bacterial small subunit ribosomal RNA
Source: RNAcentral